AAUAUAUGUUAAAGGAGGAGGUUUGUGCUCUAGAACUUGUCUUAUUGGAGCAGCUGGUAUAACUGGAAGAAGUAAAGCUAUUUCUUCUACGUACAAACCUUGUCUUGGUAUGUUUCUUUCAAAUCAUAUGUGAAAUAGUCUAGAGUAAACAUAAGGAAGGAUUUCAAGUUGACUAACUUGCACCACAGUGGGUUUUCACUGAGCUGCUGUUCAGGGCCUCUUGUUAUGAGGUAGAUUUUUUUAUUAUUGUUUUGUUUUGUUUUUUUCUCCCUCCUUCGCAUGAAGGAGCUAGAGGCAAUGACCCUAUGUUGCAAUGAUUUGGUAGUUCCUUUGCUCAUAGCGAUAGUUCCCUAAUCAUCAAUGCAGCAAAAGUUAUUUCAUAUUUUUUGAACUUAUUAUAAUUUUCCCUUUUAGUGUUAAACUUUUAAAAUGAAAAGGUGAUAAUCUGUAAAGAAACAUUUGCUACAGAAAUAGGAUUGCACAUUAAGUAUCAACUGUGGAAUUGUACAUCCUGUCCUCAGAAGUAACUUCUUGCAUGCUCGUUAUACUAAAAUAAAGUUUUAUCUUUCAGAGUUGGAGAAUCAACUCAGCCUGUUGACUUCACUGUCAUCAGCUAGAAGAUCUUCAUGUAACUGGCUGAAAAAUGGUUCUACAAGAUGACAGCCCCAACUCUAACACAGUUAAAAUGGAGAUUGUCUUCACUUUGACAUGAGGUGUGAAGUUUGCUAGAUUUUUUUUUUGUUUUGAAAUUAUUGUGGAAGGUAUGUAUAAGAAAAAUAAGUCCUGUUCCUUCUAUGUUCAUUUUUAUCAGAGCAUAUUGCUAUCAAUGUGCAGGAGCCAUAUAUAAAGAACUGUGGGGUUUAUUUUGUUACAAGUUAAUUAU
This 883-nucleotide long non-coding RNA is filed under the name Struthio camelus australis. RNAcentral's name for it is "lncRNA (ENSSCUG00000013632.1)". The record is from RNAcentral. Lineage: Eukaryota; Metazoa; Chordata; Aves; Struthioniformes; Struthionidae.